Bos taurus (domestic cattle) is the source of this 2395-nucleotide long non-coding RNA. NCBI's taxonomy places the organism in Eukaryota, Metazoa, Chordata, Mammalia, Artiodactyla, Bovidae. The record is from Ensembl.
GCCAUUUCCUUCUCCAAUGCAUGAAAGUGAGAAGUGAAAGUGAAGUCGCUCUGUCGUGUCUGACUCUUAGCGACCCCAUGGACUGCAGCCUACCAGGCGUCUCCGUCCAUGGGAUUUUCCAGGCAAGAGUACUGGAGUGGGGUGCCAUUGCCUUCUCCGGAAUUACUUUAUAUGUACAUUUUAAAUGCAACAUAUUUGAGACCCAAUGGACUGUAGCCCACUAGGCUUUUCUGUACAUGGAAUUCUCCAGGCAAGAAUACUGGAGUCAGUAGCCAUUCCCUUCUCCAGGGGAUCUUCCCGACCCAGGUCUCCUGCAUUGCAGGGAGAUUCUUUACUGUUUACGGUCCAAGCUGCCAGGGAAACCCAAAUACAACAGUUGAUGAAUUAUUUUAUAUACACACUGUAAAUCCAACAUAUUUAGUUAUGAUUGGGAAGCAGCCUUAAACUAUUUCUGUUUUUUGUUUUUUUAGCAACAGAAAGAUAUAAAACAGUUACAAGUGGAAAGGCUACUGCAGCUGCCUUGUAUUUUUAGCCCAUAACCAAACCACUGAAGUCUCAAGAUACUUAGAAAAAUACAAAACAAUAGUGUUCAAGUUAAGAAUUGUAUGUUUUGGGUGGGGAGGUGGGAAUAACUGCUUUGGCUUAAAAUACUCAACAGUUCGGAGUCAUCAUAGUUAGAAGACAGCAGCUCCUAAGGCGAUCUGUAUCUAAAGAGGGAAAUCCAGCCAGGAAGCAAACUAAAUGACUCUUCACUCACAUCUUCACACUGUUCAGCUGAAGAUGGUCCCAUUAGAAGCUGUUGAGACCAUUUUUACCAUUUCAUAAGGGAAAUCAUUUGGUAAUAUGAAUGACAUUUUCAUCUUCUUAUCUGGGAUGAAUGAUAACUUAUGAAACAUCUUUCCCUUUUUAUUUUUAAAAUAUUUUAAAGAUAUUUUAAAAAAUGUGGACCAUUUAAAGUCUUUGUUGAAUUUGUUAUAAUAUUGCUUCUGUUUUGUUUUGGUUUUUUGGCAGUGAGAUAUGGGGAAUCUUAGCUCCCUGACCAGGAAUCAACCCCACAUCUCCUGCGUCAGGAGGCAAAGUCUUAACAACUGGACUGUCAAGGAAGCCCCAUGUUUUCCCCUUUUAAAACAUAAGCAUCUGUAUCCCAACCCAAAACAGACACCUUUCUGUGUCAUCUACAGCCCACCAGUCCAGAGCCGGGGGAGCAGAAAGAGUGGAGUGUACUACAAUCACAGAUGUGUGAUUUUUCCUGGUAUACUAAUCUCACUGUUAAUUUUCAUUUAACACAUCAUUCCUCUGAAUGCCUGGGGCACAACACACUGGAAAACUGCAGGCAGGGAACAAGGAGGCGGCACUCACUCGCCCUUGUUUCUCAGGAACCCAGGCUCAUCCAGCAUGGAAUUACAAGUGACCCCAUCAUCUGUGUCUGUGGGGAGGCUUCUGUCAUGCAUGGACCACGCCUCACUGGACACCCUGAGUCUCCUGGGGGGAUUCUGUUGCCUCCAUCAUCCUGGCAUUGGCUGCAGUUCUGGUCCAGACGGCCAGCACAGCUUCCUGGCUGCAGUGAUUACCACCGUAGUACUCGCUCCCUCAGUGAGAGCGGGAGAUCCUUUACUGCGGGCUCCCCUCCUCAGAGGCAGGAGUGUCUGCCAGUCAGUCAGUGUCUUCCGACCACAUCCUUUUCUUAGACCUUUCUGGAGACGGUUCCCCUUAGUCCAUCAUUGAUUUUCUUUAUGAGUGUCUGGAUCUUGGCUUCCUUUGCCGGGAUGGGAAUAUUCUUUUGGGGAAGCACAUUCAGAGAGUUGCUGAUAAUGCGGCCAGCCUCUGCUCAGCUGUCUGUCACUGACACCAGGCCCCACCGCGUCUCGCACACAGAGUUUAGAGAGUAAUGGAGGACGAGGUAUCUUCUUCAGAGGUUUUAGGCUCUCACUGCGUGUUGCAUUCUCUUAUGGACUGGAGCCUCGUCACCCCUCACAGACAGUUCUCAUUUGGCCCCCUUCCAGGAGGUUCUCUGUGAAGCUGAGGCACUGGCUUGCUUGAAGCCAGGUGUUUCUCUCCAGCUUUUACUGACAACAGAUUUGAAUUUGAGAAUCACGUGUUCUUCACCCAGCUUCUCUAUGGAGUUUCACUCUUGGCCUUUUGCCUUCUCCAUCAUCUGAAAAAGAGUUGAGAUAUGCAAAAAGAAAAUUCUUCUGACUUCUGGCUCAAGUUUGUUCUAAAAGUCUCCUUGUGCUUCAUUUCACUCAAAGGUAUUCUCAAACCUGCCAUUCUUAAAAAGGAUGUAUAUUUAGUUCAGACUUAAUAGAAAUGAAAUAAGUCAGACGUUUUACCCUAGGUAGAUCCAUUUUUAAAUCCUGAGAGUGCUAAAGUGAUGACAAAAAUAGCUGGACAGGUG